Molecule: long non-coding RNA, 295 nt
Organism: Myotis davidii
Lineage: Eukaryota; Metazoa; Chordata; Mammalia; Chiroptera; Vespertilionidae
Exons: 3
Source: RefSeq, a predicted model, not a curated record
CUGAAUGUGACCAGCUGCAGUGGCCCUGGGCUUACGGGAGACAAGGUCCUGCUCCACGCAGGGGCCCUUUGCAGCAGAUUGACAGCAGUGGACAUAAGCUGGUCUGGGGCCACAGACGUGGGCGUGAUGGCCCUUAUACAGGGAGCUUCAAGCCUUCAAGGACUCUCCAUUAAUGGAUGCCAGGUUACAGACAAAGCCAUUAAAGCCUUAGUUAAAAAGCAUGGAAACAGUCUUCACAAAAUAGAAGUAUUUGGCUGCCUUGCUCUCACUCCCAGGAGUAUAGGUUCCCUGGCCC